CUCAUCUCAUCCUCAAACACCUUCCCAGACACACCCGCGAUCACGUUUGGCCAGAUACCUGGGCACCCCGUGCGUGUCCUGUCAAGUUGACACGUACAGUUAACCAUCACAAACGGUUUGCUGUUUGGGGCUGAUGUGAACAUUUGUGCACAAGCCUUCGUGGAGACACAUUUCAGUUCUGCGAGUCUGACCACUGGGUCGUGGGAUCCUGUUAAAUUCUCUUCAGUCGGGGUAAAUCUUCCAGUCUACCGAUCUGUUAAACCUGUUCUCAGACAUUCUUGUGACGAGGACACUUCACCUCCCGUGGACGGAAGCCUCCUCACGGUUCUCCUGAGAUCCCGUCCAUGCCUAGUCUGUCAUCACGGAGGUGCCCUUGCUUUUCAGGGUCACACCUGGAUCCCGACAGCGCAAGCAAAGCUGAUGAAAGGUCUGCC
Orcinus orca (killer whale) is the source of this 434-nucleotide long non-coding RNA. RefSeq lists it as uncharacterized. The transcript has 3 exons. The record is from RefSeq and is a predicted model, not a curated record. NCBI's taxonomy places the organism in Eukaryota, Metazoa, Chordata, Mammalia, Artiodactyla, Delphinidae.